UACGGGGGGGGCAAGCGUUGUUCGGAAUUACUGGGCGUAAAGGGCUCGUAGGCGGCCAACUAAGUCGGAUGUGAAAUCCCCAGGCUUAACCUGGGAACUGCAUCCGAUACUGGAUGGCUUGAAUCCGGGAGAGGGAUGCGGAAUUCCAGGUGUAGCGGUGAAAUGCGUAGAUAUCUGGAGGAACACCGGUGGCGAAGGCGGCAUCCUGGACCAACACUGACACUGAGGAGCGAAAGCCAGGGGAGCAAACGGG
RNAcentral lists this ribosomal RNA (253 nucleotides) under uncultured bacterium. RNAcentral's name for it is "partial 16S ribosomal RNA". It matches the Rfam family "Bacterial small subunit ribosomal RNA", at positions 524 to 776 of the family's 1533-position model. The record is from RNAcentral.